Cornus florida is the source of this 3084-nucleotide long non-coding RNA. RefSeq lists it as uncharacterized. Lineage: Eukaryota; Viridiplantae; Streptophyta; Magnoliopsida; Cornales; Cornaceae. The record is from RefSeq and is a predicted model, not a curated record. The transcript has 4 exons.
CUCUCAAAACCCCUCACUUUACUCUCCUUUGCCAAUCGUUGCAGCAAAACUCGGUGCAACGUCUACGUGUCAGUAUCCGAUUCGUUCGUUUCCCCUAUAAAUACCUCUCAUCUCCACCAUCACUUCCCUAACAAGCUAUAGCUCUCCCUAUGGCUACUGACCACUGACACCGCAAGAUAGGGUUCUUCCUUGCAUGCAAUUAUCUGAUCUAUCUAUUUGUUUCUACCAAUAUACACAUAGAUAGAUCUAUAUAUGCACACAUAGAUAUAUGAAUGAAUUGGUCGUUGAAGAGGAGAUUUUGUUGCGGUGGUCUCUAAUUCGCUUGGUGCAGGUCGGGAACUGCUUCGCCGGCGACGUCGUUUCCGAUCGGAGGCCGUGUUUGGCUGUUCUAUUUGAAUUUUAGCGGCGAAUUGGGUCCCGCCUUGCAUCAACUGAAUCGGAGACCACGGUGAGUAUCGGAGUUGCAAAUGUUUCAGAUCUUGGAUUGUUGGAUUUGAAUCUGUUGCCGCCUUUUUGUUUCUGAUAGAUACGGCAUUCAAUGCUUCAAUUUUAGGUUUGAAAUUUUCUAUUUAGUACGAUUUUCUUCUAGAUUUCUAUACUUCAUGGAUCUAUUAUUACAGUAGAAAUCUGUAGAGUUUUUUGAUUUAUUGAUGAAAGUUUGAUUCUUUGUUCUUCAAAAAGGUGAUCUCCAUUUUCAAGUUGAUGUGAUAUGAUCUGCGUCUAGAAUGGCAUCUAGAUCUCGGUCUUUCCUUGGUUAUCCAUCUUAUAAGUAUUGACAUUGAAUUUUUCAGUGUUUGAUAUGGCGUCUAAAACUUCAAUUCUUUCUUCUGUGCUUAUUUGCUCCAAGAAGAUACUGAACUGACCAACACGGCAAUUAGAAAGACGAAGUUAGUUAACUUUUUGUCGGCAAUCAUGAUCGAGUCAAAGCUAUUUUUUUUGGUCAGAUUUGAGUGAGGGCGUUGCAGCGGAAUAUAACUGCACAACAUGACAGUAGUCUCGGAUAAAGAAAAUUCGAUAUGUAUGCUUUGCAGUUACGAGAUAAAGCAAGGAGGUACAAAAGAAUGAUGUAGAACUAACAUAUAAGCUUUGAGCAGAUGUGGGAUUAUACCAAGUAACGAGAUUGGGAAUACUUCCACAUCAAAUUGGUCAAGGAUUUUGAAGUUAGUUUGCGAUGUAUGAGAAACCAACUCAGAGAAGAUACAAGAGUAGAUUUGAGACGAGGAAAUCCAAGAUGAGACUGCAACCAUGUUGAAUGAGAGCAAGUUGGUUCCUCUCAGCUGCUUUAUCUCCUUGACUUGAAUGGCUGAUGGCGUACUUUAAACAACAUUGGGCUACUUCUCUUCAUUACCAAGAUCAACCUUUUAUCUAAGAACAAGGUUGAUCACACUUUUAUUUGUUCUGAUUUUCAGUUGCUUUUCAGGGAAUUUUAGACUGUUGUCGCCGAUUACCCUUUUCUUAUUAUCAGCCAUUCCCUUUUCAGCUGAUACGGUAGAUAUCUGAUUGUUACCUAUGGCUCUGUCCAUUAACAUUGGCUAGUUGGGCUGGUCAGCAGCUGCCAUUAGCUGCCCCCCGACCCGAGUAUCAAAGUUUUCUACUGAUAUUCCAGCAGAAUUUCUUGGUAAUCGACCACUUGUUCCCAUUAAUUUUCCUCUGCUGGUUGAUUUGUCCGCCCAUUAAAUCGGCAAGGCUGACCGAUUUUAGUAUAUUGCUGAUUUUUUAACGAUAGUUACUGAUAUUCUGCCCAACUUUGCUGCUGAUCAAGUUCAAUAGCCACAUCUGGCUGAUAUUCUGCUAAACUUUUUUGCCGAUAUAGACAAGUUUGCCGAUUUCAGUAUUGGCUAUCGGUUGCCCCUCACUUUUCAGAAGGUGACGGUAUUGGAGUAAUUACUGGACUUGAAUGUCCCCAUCCAAUAUCACUGCCCCGGGUCUGGAGGUUCUUCUCCGAGAAGGUUUUCUGGUGCAAUCUGUGACCAUGGUCGAUGGACAUAAAGUUGAUGCGAUGGCUGAUGCACUGUAGGUAUCUGCUGAAAAUUCUAAAUAGUUGAAUGUGGUGAAUAUUCUAGCCAACCAUAUGUUUGAUUGCAAUCCGGCUAACCUUGUUGCUGGUUUGCCAUCGACUGCCUUCCAAGUACUAGUGGUUGAUAUAUAAGAGUGUAUGGUUGAUUUACCACAUGCCGAUAAUCUGCUGCUGGCGGCUCAUUUACCAUAUGCCGAUAAUCGACAGAGGGUAGCUGACAAUUUUCUGGCUGAUUGCCCCCUGCCCCUAGUCAAAGAAUUCUUCAGAAGCUACCUGCUGAUUUUGAAUUUACCGAUAUAAUGCAGGAGGCUGAUAUGCGGAUAUCACUGCUGCUGAUUCUCUAUCCAGAUCGGCUGCAGGUUUGCUGGUAAGUCUGCUUGCUGAUCCAGCUAAGUUGAAAUCACCAAUGCCGGUUGGGGGGAGAAACUGUCGCCAAAGGUAUUGAAAUCCGCCGAGAAACCGAUUCAUAAGCAGUGGAAUUUCCAGCCUGCAUCUGCCGAUUCUGAGGAGCCGAUAUUUGGGCCAUCACAGUAUCCAUGUUGUGAUUAUGUUCUUCGCUGAGUUACGCAUGUAACUCGGCCUUCAUCUUGUUAUUGUUUUUGCUGAUCUGUGCUUGCACAUCAACUUUAUGUGUGUUGAGCAUGGAGGCUUGGACAUCCAUUUUACGCUCUAUUCAUGUCAUCAUAUCCAUGAUCUGUACUAAUGGGAGGUCAUGCAUAGUCGAUACACAAUCAGCGGAUCCACCCAUAGGAAUCGGCUGAUUCUCUUCAUCAUUAUCGUCUUCAGUAGAGACGACACCUUUAGAAUUCUUGCAAUUCGCUCGCCCCAGUGGGUCCCACCGAGGGUGCCAAAAUGUUGACCCUUAAAUUAGCAGAGGCCUGUCAAUUUAGAAAUUGGUUAGCGUGGGCGUGUCAGAACCAAUGGGCCUGGGCAUGUUAAAACCAAUGGGCUUGAUUUGAUUGGGAGAGAUGAGUUUCUUUUUUGUGAAAAUAAUGGAACAUGAGACAACAUGAAACACUCAGGUUCAAUUUGCCUUAAUUAAAACAUGACUUUAAAGCAAAAGCAAA